GGCAGGUACCAAGUCCAGCACAGUCUCUGAAAGGAGUAUCGCUGACUACAAAGAAUUUGGGGAUAGUCUUCAGAAAGUUUGAAAAUGAGUUUAUUUUCUUUGUGUUGAAAACAGAAGUUCCACUUCAGGAAAGCAUAAAUUGAUGUUAUUUAAACUUUUUCACUACAUAUUGAAUUCUACCAUGCAAAAUAAUUUGAAUUUCUUCCAACUAACAUUUAGAACAACAAAAUCCAGCUGAAAUGACUAGAAAAUGUCUUCUCCUUGCAGAACUUGCUGUAUGACCUCAGUGCAGACUGGAAAGAUGAAUGGAACCUUGAUGGAGCUGUUGACAGAAUCUGCAAUAAUAAAGAGGAUUUCCUGCUUCAAGAAAACCCACAGAACUUUGGGCCCAAUGCUAAAAAUCUCCUAUGAGGACUCCCAUUGAAGUCAGUGAAACUCCUUAUAUGGGAAAGCAUCUGCAAGAUCAGCUACUAGGAACUGGAAGGAGUGUACAGUAGAUAGGUAAGUAUAAUACUGGGAAAAGGCAACAAGAUGAAGAGAAACCAGGCUGUUGUAAUGUGAACAUCUAGAUGUGCCACCUUCAGAAAACAAAUUAUUUUAUUUAUUAUUUUAUUCAUUUUUAUUUAGGUUGUGUAAAGACAUUCUUCAGUAAACUGGAUUUACUUGGCUGGACUGCAUAAUGUUUUGGCUCUACAAGUUGGAGUUAUUUUACUAUGAAAGAGUGACUCAAACUAGAACCCCAAAGGACAGUUGUUUGUGGAAAACCUUUCUAGAUUUUUAAUAUGCUGAAUGCUCUGGCCAUCACAUCCCUCAAAGCAGCUCUGUGAUGUGCUACACAUACAUGACUGGCAAGCCUUAUAUGGAGAAAUGCCUUAUGCGUAGAUGGGAAAAGGGAUAAUCUUUUAGCUAUACAACUCCUUCCUUAAGUGAACAACAUAAGUAAGUGAAGCUUGGAGCAAUUAUUCCCCAGUUGUAUUAGAUGUGACAUUUGUUCUUUUUCAAACUCCAAGAGGGAAUUUUGAGCUCAAAAGUGUUCAAAAAUAUCAGUAAAUCCGACAAAAUCUCUUAGCAACCUUGCUGCCUCUUGGAAGAGCAACCGCCAUCCUUAAGCAUAUCUUGGACUAUAGUUCAUCAUAAUAAUCACUGCAAACUGUUUAUACAGCUAGCCCUUUUUUGGCUCUUGAACAGUUGCUUUAUAAUACUACAUUUGACGUUUGUAAUUCUUGAGCUUGUGAGAUUUGCAAACGCAUUUGAUCUGGGAACUGCAUGUACACAAUUUGUGCUUGCUAUUCUUUAUUCAUUUUUCUGAGGUCUGUGAUUGAU
This 1323-nucleotide long non-coding RNA is filed under the name Coturnix japonica (Japanese quail). Its description in RNAcentral is "lncRNA (ENSCJPG00005008440.1)". The record is from RNAcentral. Lineage: Eukaryota; Metazoa; Chordata; Aves; Galliformes; Phasianidae.